Long non-coding RNA from Malurus melanocephalus (red-backed fairy wren), 1561 nucleotides. RefSeq lists it as uncharacterized. The transcript has 3 exons. Lineage: Eukaryota; Metazoa; Chordata; Aves; Passeriformes; Maluridae. The record is from RefSeq and is a predicted model, not a curated record.
CCAAAGGGGCAAGCACAGUGUCCUGCCACCACAGCUGGAUGUGCAGCAAUUCUCUCUGGAAAUUUGGUCCUUCACUUCAUCUCUACAGCCAUGCUCCAGAGAAUGAUGCUGUCAAGUCAGAGCACAUUUCUUUGGGAGACAUUUCGUUUGAAAGAUUUUGAUAAAGCGCCUAAUGCACAACGAUAAAUACUGACCAAAAUGUAGUUCUCAUAACUGGAUGAAGCUCCAGCUCAUACCAUGACCAUGUAUUGUGACUUGGGGAGACAAAAUUCAUUUCUACUGAUCGCUCUGGGRAAAAAAAAAAAAAAAAAAAGAAAAAAGUAGGAUUUUCAAUGAGUCUAGGUCACCUAGGUUAUGGUACAUCCAUUCUGUACUCCAGAGCACACACUAAAUGCUCCUUAUGCCAUCACCUGGUCCCCUAAUAACAGAAGAAACAGGGUUUGAAAGCACAAAAAAAAAAAAGAAAGAAAACAAAAAAUUACAUCCAAUAUACACAUAAAUUAUAUAAAAACCUUCCUGCAUAUGUAUAUAUAGUCAAUAAAAUUAAAUGCAGUUGCAUACUCAGGCACACUCUUAUGAUGCAAAAAAUGAUCAGAUGCAGACUCAAACUCUCAACUCCGUAACUUUAUAAAAUUGACAUCUACAUAAUUUAUCUCAUUAUUAUGUAAUAUUUAAUUUUAAAUUAUACAUUUUUUUAUAUGGUCUUUCAGAAGCUCUCUUACAAGUUGUGCUGCUGAUGUAACAUCAUCCCUUUCCAUCUACUUUAUCUCUUACCAUUUUGAGUUAUAUUUGUGGGCAUUGCUGAUGAAGAGUUGUAUGAAGAAUAGACAGUGAAUUAUCCAUGGUAAUGAUUGUUGCUUGACUUAAAAUAAAAAGUAACAGCCUUUUAAGGUUAACAUCAGUUUCAUGUUUGGAUUGUUUCUACCAUUUGGAAAGGUUUGACAUGUUUUUAAAUUACUAAGUAAUGUGAAAAUACGUUACUAGCACAGGACUGUUGUCUAUGUAAAUAUUUCAUGAGUAGAGUCACCCGUCAUUGGUUAAUAAGGUAACAAAGAUUCAAAGCUAUUUAUGUUGACUCAUAUUUUUAAAAUGAGGAAUUUGGAAACAAGAAAAUGUGACAAAGUUGAUCAGGAUCUAAGAUACUGGCUAUAGACAGACUGUGUCUUGCCUGACAUGAAAUGUUAUUUUAAAUCACUUAUUGAAAAGAGAUGUAACAUUGUCCAKGUGAAAUAUAUUAAAUGUGUAAUACAACGAGUCACCUAAUGAACCUAGGAUAAAUAGUUAUCAUUUUUAGGUUUGCAGAGAUGAAAGACAAAACCUUGGUAGGUUUUGCUUCCACUGAUUCUCCCAUGUGUCCAUGACAUCAAAUACAGCAGAUAGCCCAUUUAUCAUAGAGUUUACUCUAUGAUUAACUCCAUUUAUCAUAGAGUUUACAUGAACGUUAUCACCUUGGGGUUAACAGUACGACUGGAGAGUGAGUGCAGCUCAUGGGUUCAGCCUGCAGCAGCCACCCCCUUGGUACUCCCCAGUCUGCCUUCAUUCACAGGCAGUGUAAGGGCAU